This 307-nucleotide ribosomal RNA is filed under the name uncultured eukaryote. RNAcentral describes it as "partial 18S ribosomal RNA". It matches the Rfam family "Eukaryotic small subunit ribosomal RNA", at positions 1470 to 1796 of the family's 1831-position model. The record is from RNAcentral.
CCCUUAGACGUUCUGGGCCGCACGCGCGCUACACUGACACAGGCAACGAGCUUUCCUUUACCGAAAGGUAUGGGUAAUCUUUUGAAACUGUGUCGUGCUGGGGAUAGGUCCUUGCAAUUUUUGAUCUUAAACGAGGAAUUCCUAGUAAGCGCGAGUCAUCAACUCGCGUUGAUUACGUCCCUGCCCUUUGUACACACCGCCCGUCGCUACUACCGAUUGAAUGGCUUAGUGAGGCCUCAGGAUCCGCGCUUAAUGUGUGGAGAAUUUGGACAAACUACGUCAUUUAGAGGAAGUAAAAGUCGUAACA